UUAAAAGAAAAAGAAAAAAAGAAAUUUAGACAAUGAUUUCAUGGUAUAUAAUCUUCCAUUCCUUAACCCUUCACCAAGAAUGGCAAAAAAAAUAUUGGUUAUCUUUUUUCAGGAACUUUGUUAUUCAUAAGUCAAAAGAGUCAUUUAUUACUGUUAACUGUUCAGUUCUCUACUUGUCAUAGCCAAAUCACAUAAGAGUCCUCAAAUCGGUGUUUAGAGUCUAAAUGAACCAAGCUGAGUUUCCACUGUUCAGGCUGAGUUUCUUCUGUAGCUGUUAUUGUAUUUUUUAAACAUUCUCUGACCAACAAAUUUAAAUUUUAAUUAAGUUUAAUUGGCAUGACAUGUGUGAGAACAUGCUUUUAAUUUAUUAUACUUAAUUUAAUCUG
RNAcentral lists this unclassified non-coding RNA (386 nucleotides) under Hevea brasiliensis (rubber tree). The record is from RNAcentral. Lineage: Eukaryota; Viridiplantae; Streptophyta; Magnoliopsida; Malpighiales; Euphorbiaceae.